This 270-nucleotide ribosomal RNA is filed under the name uncultured prokaryote. RNAcentral describes it as "partial 16S ribosomal RNA". It matches the Rfam family "Bacterial small subunit ribosomal RNA", at positions 524 to 792 of the family's 1533-position model. The record is from RNAcentral.
UACGGAGGGUGCAAGCGUUAAUCGGAAUCACUGGGCGUAAAGCGCAUGUAGGCUGUUUUGUAAGUCAGAGGUGAAAUCCCACGGCUCAACCGUGGAACUGCCUUUGAUACUGCUAAACUUGAAUCCGGGAGAGGGUGGCGGAAUUCCAGGUGUAGGAGUGAAAUCCGUAGAUAUCUGGGGGGAACAUCAGUGGCGAAGGCGGCCACCUGGACCGGUAUUGACGCUGAGAUGCGAAAGCGUGGGUAGCAAACAGGAUUAGAUACCCUGGUA